Molecule: ribosomal RNA, 253 nt
Filed under: uncultured bacterium
Lineage: Bacteria
Description: partial 16S ribosomal RNA
Rfam family: Bacterial small subunit ribosomal RNA
Source: RNAcentral
UACGGAGGGGGCUAGCGUUGUUCGGAAUUACUGGGUUUAAAGGGUGCGUAGGCGGCUUUGUAAGUCAGGAGUGAAAGUUUGCGGCUCAACCGUAAAAUUGCUUUUGAUACUGCGAGGCUAGAAUUAGGAUGAGGUCAGCGGAAUGUGGCAUGUAGCGGUGAAAUGCAUAGAUAUGCCAUAGAACACCAAUUGCGAAGGCAGCUGGCUAGACCUGGAUUGACGCUGAGGCACGAAAGCGUGGGGAGCGAACAGG